Molecule: unclassified non-coding RNA, 185 nt
Filed under: uncultured fungus
Lineage: Eukaryota; Fungi
Description: sequence contains ITS1, 5.8S rRNA gene
Source: RNAcentral
CAUGAUUUACUUUAUCUUAACAAACCGUGAACUUUAUAAUAAUACAAUUCGUGUUUUAAUUUUUUUUAUAAAAUAUAUUACACUGUCAUUCGAUGAACAUUAGAUGGCUGGAUUAUUAUUUUUAUCUCAGUCGAUUUGUUUGUAUUGACUCAACAUCUUACAACAAUCACCAAAAAACAUAGAAA